GUCAUUCAUACAUUACCAAAUAACAACAUUUAGACAAAAAUUUCUCAUUCAAUAUACAAAAAUCAGAUUAGAUAAAAGUGAAAUAAAAAAUAUAAAAUAAUAGCAUAAAACAAUAUAAAAAAUAUUUAAAGAAAAAGAAAAAAUGGAGGAGAUGAGAUAUUAGAUAAGAUGAAAAAGAAAGAACAUAAGAGAUGAGAGAAAUGUGUGAUAAAAAUAUAAUUAGAAGAGAAAACAAUAACAUAAAAAUGAGAAGAUGAAAAAGAACGAACAUAAGAGAAAAAAGAUUAUAGUAGAAGAGGUGCGA
This 304-nucleotide long non-coding RNA is filed under the name Lathyrus oleraceus (garden pea). Its description in RNAcentral is "Pisum sativum (pea) long non-coding RNA (PSAT_LNC021794)". The record is from RNAcentral. Lineage: Eukaryota; Viridiplantae; Streptophyta; Magnoliopsida; Fabales; Fabaceae.